CCGACAGGAAGUCAUCUAAAGGAAGACAUGAGCCACUGGCAGCUUCAUGCUCACUACUAUCCUCCUCUACUGCGAUCCGCAACCAUCCGCAAGUUCAUGGUUGGAUAUGAGAUGCUAGCUAAUGAACAGAGGGAUCUUACACCUGAACAGGCUGCAGAGCAGUUAAGGAAGCUCGGAGAGGAACAUUAUAAGAUG
Sinocyclocheilus grahami is the source of this 195-nucleotide long non-coding RNA. RefSeq lists it as uncharacterized. NCBI's taxonomy places the organism in Eukaryota, Metazoa, Chordata, Actinopteri, Cypriniformes, Cyprinidae. The record is from RefSeq and is a predicted model, not a curated record. The transcript has 2 exons.